UUGGCCCCAUCCUCUCUAUAUUCCCCCUCAAGUAUUUGUACACAUUGAUGAGAUCCCCUCUGAAUCUUCUCUUCUCCAGGCUAGACACGCCCGGCUCUUGCAAUCUUUGUUCAG
This is a non-coding RNA of Tinamus guttatus (white-throated tinamou), 114 nucleotides long. NCBI's taxonomy places the organism in Eukaryota, Metazoa, Chordata, Aves, Tinamiformes, Tinamidae. The record is from RefSeq and is a predicted model, not a curated record.